AUUCGUCGAGGUAUUCGCCGGGGCGCUCUUCUAUCCGACGGUACUCAACUAUGGCCGCAGCUUGAUCGAGCCCGAGUUCCACUGGUGGGAUCGCAUCGACAAGGAUAUUUGGAUAGGGGCAGUUCCUCACCAACCAAUGUCAUAAUUGAUCACGUCCGCAAAUGAUUUUUGGACUGUAGUUUGGAUUGUUCUGCCGAGCGUAUAACAACGCAUGCUAUCUAUCAAAGCUUCGACUCAUUUGUUUUGCUGCUCGGGAAUAUUGAGACGAGAAGAAUGGCCUUGAUGCUGGAGGUUAAUGGAUCACCCUGGGAACGAUUUUGAGGGCAUUAUGCCAGCUACUUUGAUGGCAAUGGAUUAUGGAAUGGCAAACUAACAGGGCACAUCGCACAACUGCUAUAAAUGUGUUGAUAUGUUGCAUUUCAAGGCAGUUUCACUCAUAAAUACUACAAAGGUUUACAAA
Molecule: long non-coding RNA, 460 nt
Organism: Triticum dicoccoides
Lineage: Eukaryota; Viridiplantae; Streptophyta; Magnoliopsida; Poales; Poaceae
Exons: 3
Source: RefSeq, a predicted model, not a curated record